GCGGCGCGGACCGGCAGUUGCCGCCAUCAUGUGCCAGCCGCUGCACCUCGCCGUCGUCCUCGUCCUCGGCGUCGUCGUCGCCGUCCUGGGCGUCAUCGAGGCCGCCACCCGGGCGGCCACCUUGUGCCCGGAGCCGAAGACAAAAGACGAUUUCAUUGUGGACAACUUUCUGGGCACGUGGUACGAGAUGAAGAGGACCCCUUGCACGCUUAAUGUCUUACGAAGGCGAGUCUUUGUAUUAUGGUGACAAAUCUUCGUAUUAUGGUGCAAAACCUUCGUAUUAUGGCUGCUGCGCUCGCUCCGUAACCUACGAAGCCAAAUUCUUUAAAUUAAGUGUGUGGGGCUUCGACGUCGAGGACGAAGGCGAGUGCGGCACGGUGCGCUACUCCUGGGUCAAACCGGACAAGAAAGACGAGCUCAAAGUCGAAAAGAUCUACUUCCUGCCUCAGAAUUCUACGGUCAGCGUCGUCAUGAUGUCUGCCGUCCCUUCCGACAUCUCCAGCGGCAAAUUCACUGCGACGUUCCCGACGCGAAUCUAUGAGAAACCGUACCGUCCGUUCAGGUACUGGGUGCUGGGAACGGACUACGUCUCGUUCGCCGUGAUGUUCUCGUGCCAGGAACCAGAGGGCCUCGACAGGGGGCUCCAUCGUCCCGACCUCGACAGGUUCGCGGGCCCCUGGUGGAACGUGCAGCACGGCCCCUACGCCGAAGACUCCGACCGCCAGAGCUGCCGCGUCACGGAGAUCGCCGCCACGGGCAGAAACACCAUCAAACUCGUCAACUCAGUGAUGAUAAAGAAGGACGCGUUCAAACCAGGGAACGAACAUGCAUGGCAGACCUCCGAGAGCCAGUGGCGGGGCUCCGACCGGCGCGAUGGAUCGUUCGGCAACGACCUCGGUGCCAAGAUGUGCGUGCUGGCCACCGACUACGACAACUGGGCAGUGCUCUCCGUCUGCGCCGCGCGCGAUGAAGGCGACGGCUUCCCUGUCCUGCCUUUCGGGGCGCGAUGGGUGGUCAAACCAGGUCCGCGCAAUCCAACCAAGUGUUGCGGAGUAAUUCUCCUUGGCGCGUGCAGAGUUUGUAGUUUUUACACUUCAAGUGUGGAAUAGUUGCUCACAGAGCCACUACCUCUCGGAAUGGGAUCAAUGUGAAGAACCCCACCCACACUUGACGAGUCUGCAAAGUCUGCACUACAAAGAGGCGUCUACGUGCUGGCCAGGAACCGCGGCCUCACCCCGGAGCAGCAGGCGCACGCCAACAAGGCCGUGGCCAAGGCCGGCAUCCCCCCCUCUUACAUGCAGGCCACGCCGUCGACGCCCUGCCCGGAAGUCCUGC
RNAcentral lists this unclassified non-coding RNA (1335 nucleotides) under Thrips palmi. RNAcentral describes it as "uncharacterized LOC117650951, transcript variant X2". The record is from RNAcentral. Lineage: Eukaryota; Metazoa; Arthropoda; Insecta; Thysanoptera; Thripidae.